This 512-nucleotide ribosomal RNA is filed under the name uncultured bacterium. RNAcentral describes it as "bacterial SSU rRNA". It matches the Rfam family "Bacterial small subunit ribosomal RNA", at positions 29 to 527 of the family's 1533-position model. The record is from RNAcentral.
AGUGAACGCUGGCGGCAGGCCUAAUACAUGCAAGUCGAACGGCAGCACAGCAGAACUUGCUCUGUGGGUGGCGAGUGGCGGACGGGUGAGGAAUACGUGGGAAUCUGCCCAGUCGUGGGGGGAUAACGUAGGGAAACUUACGCUAAUACCGCAUGCGCCCUUCGGGGAAAGCCGGGGACCUUCGGGCCUGGCGCGAUUGGAUGAGUCUACGUCGGAUUAGCUAGUUGGCGGGGUAAAGGCCCACCAAGGCGACGAUCCGUAGCUGGUCUGAGAGGAUGAUCAGCCACACUGGAACUGAGACACGGUCCAGACUCCUACGGGAGGCAGCAGUAGGGAAUAUUGGACAAUGGGCGCAAGCCUGAUCCAGCCAUGCCGCGUGAGUGAAGAAGGCCCUCGGGUUGUAAAGCUCUUUUGUCCGGAAGAAAAGCGCCGGGUUAAUACCCUGGUGUCCUGACGGUACCGGAAGAAUAAGCACCGGCUAACUUCGUGCCAGCAGCCGCGGUAAAGUAUCG